GGCGGACGGGUGAGUAACGCAUAGGAAUCUGCCCAAUAGUGGGGGACAACCUGGGGAAACUCAGGCUAAUACCGCAUACGCCCUACGGGGGAAAGGCUUCGGCCGCUAAUGGAUGAGCCUAUGUCUGAUUAGCUUGUUGGUAGGGUAACGGCCUACCAAGGCAACGAUCAGUAGCUGGUCUGAGGGGACGAUCAGCCACACUGGGACUGAGACACGGCCCAGACUCCUACGGGAGGCAGCAGUGGGGAAUAUUGCACAAUGGGCGAAAGCCUGAUGCAGCAAUGCCGCGUGUGUGAAGAAGGCCUGCGGGUUGUAAAGCACUUUCAGUAGGGAGGAUUAUGACGUUACCUACAGAAGAAGCACCGGCUAACUCUGUGCCAGCAGCCGCGGUAAUACAGAGGGUGCGAGCGUUAAUCGGAAUUACUGGGCGUAAAGCGCGCGUAGGCGGCCUGGUCAGUCGGAUGUGAAAGCCCCGGGCUUAACCUGGGAAUUGCAUUCGAUACUGCCAGGCUGGAGUGUAGUAGAGGGAAGCGGAAUUCC
Molecule: ribosomal RNA, 540 nt
Filed under: uncultured Gammaproteobacteria bacterium
Lineage: Bacteria; Pseudomonadati; Pseudomonadota; Gammaproteobacteria
Description: bacterial SSU rRNA
Rfam family: Bacterial small subunit ribosomal RNA
Source: RNAcentral